AAAUCUCUUACCUCUGUCGCCAUGAUGCCUCGAGGAUCUGUCCCGGUGCUGAAAUCCUCUCCACGCGUGGGACAGUAACAGAUGGAGAGAUGAAAGCGAUGGAGAGGGUGGAGCACCGUCAGAUUACGAGUGGAUAAGUGCAUAUGUGUCUCCCUUCAUGUGCGCGGAUACGCGGAGUCCUUUCAGAGAGUCGUGAGACCACCAGUGGAGCAGAUCACGUUCAUUUAAAGGACGUGAUCGUGCCAGAAACAGUUCAUAUGGAACGCUCUGGAAGAAGCAGUCAGUGCAUACCAUCAAUCAAUCCAAACAUGGAGUAUGUGCACUGAAGCACCACUGCCAACUUGAUGUGUGUUAUGAGUCAUUAAACCUGGAGCUGGAUCUUAUAUCAUGGAUUCGAAACAUUGAAUCCCUGAGAGAUUUUCAAGAGACCAAAUCUCCUCAUUGUUCUCGGAAGCAGCAUUUUUUAUUCCACCUAAUCAGCGCCGAAACCAUUGUGCACACUUAGCUGGUCUUUCUGCAGAAGCUUCUCCAUUCCACCAUAAUCCCUUUAAAAACUAAAAAAAGUGCUCCAACAGCAAAUGAAUGAUGGGAGAGGAAGGAAUGGAGCAGGAACAGCCAAAAUAAUAAUAACUCCCCCCUGCUCUGGAUUAACUUGUCAGACAUUCUCUUUCCUUCUGCGUCGCUCCAUCUUAUGAAAGAUCUGCCAACCUCUCGAUGCUUUGAAGUCAUGUCUGUUUUCCAAACUGUCAGAGCACAUCCCACCCUGCUUUGGCUCUUGUCUGCGCUCGGUGGGCCAAAAUCUGUGCGGCCUCAUUAUAGUGAAAUGGUCGAUAAUCACAGCAGCGUGAGCGCGGGGAAAUAAAACCAGGAAGCGAAUCGUGAUCCUGCUCUGUGAGCUGACAUGACUCUGUCCAAUGUUCCUGGCCAGCUAGAGACUACCAGAAUGAAAGACAAAGGUACAGUAUGUUGUCAUCCCAAACAUAUUUUCUUUACUCGCUGCCACCAUCUUUCCAUCUGGAGUGCACGCAGUAAUCAUGAAGGAAAUGAAAACCUUACUCAGGAGUGCCAUUAUUCACUGAUGUCAAACACGGCGAGGGGACGAUCUGACAGUUUGCCAGUUUUUAUAUCUGUUAAACAUCUGCUCCAGCAUAGCAAAUUAACUUUCUCAGAUGAUGUUUUUUGUAUAAUUAAGCAUGAAAAAAUGUUAAAAGGUUGUUUUGUGUGCAAAUGUUCCUGCCAAGAUUCCACAGCUGCCCUGAGCAUCCUCGCAAUAAUUUUUGAGGUGAUGUUUGCCUUGAAUAAGAGUUAAUGCUCUCAGCAGCAGCGAGUGAUUUUGUGAUUUACAGGAGGCCUGACCAGUUAAACAGGUUUUGAACGAUGAGGCUUCUGGGAGUGACUCAAAAUAAAAAAGGUCACUGAAACACAAGAGCAGGAGUUUUCAAACUGGGGUCCGGGGUUGCUUUGCCCCUGUGACGUGAUAAUUGUACAUUUAUGUAUGACUCACUUUGUACGAAUUCAUAUGAAUUAGCUUGUAAAAUAUGUACAAAUUCCAUACCUGUCAACCCUCCUGUUUUUUUUCCGGGAAUCUCCUGUAUUUUACCAUUCUAUUCACCUGUCAUCCCUUUUAAAUAUUUUCUCAUAUUUUACCAUUUUUUUCCAGCUAUCAUCCCGUUUAAAUAUUUUCUUGUAUUUCUCCCGUAUUUUACUAUUUUGUUCCGCUGUCAUCCUGUCUAAGUAUUUUACCCUAUUUCUCCCACAUUUUACCAUUCUGUUCCACUGUCAUCCCGUUUAAAUAUUUUCCUGUAUUUCUCCCGUAUUUUACCAUCUUUUUCCGCUGUCCUUUUGUUUAAAUAUUUUCCCGUAUUUCUCCCGUAUUUUGCCAUUCUGUUCCACUGUCAUCCUGUUUAAAUAUUUCCCCUUAUUUUUUUCCCGUAUUUUGCUAUUCUGUUCCGCUGUCAUCCCGUUUAAAUAUUUUCCUGUAUUUCUCCCGUAUUUUUCCAUUCUGUUCCGCUGUCAUCCCGUUUAAAGAGCACCUAUUAUGGGAUACACGUUUUUAAACAUCCUUUUGUGUGUAAGUGUGCAUUAGUACAUGCUAACGAUAUUCAAAAAGUACAUACCUCAAAGAAAACGAUGACGCGAGUUAUCGUCUCUAACGUUCGAGGACUACAAAAAACACUCGAGCCGUUUCUCAAAACCAAGUACGCCGAACUCGGACUUGUGUCCUUCGUAGUUCGAACUUGCAAGUUCAGACUCGGAAGAACGAACUCCUGACGCGAAAUGCAUUCUGGGAAACUUCGCUGUCAUAAGUCCACACAAGUCUCCUCUGAUGCAUCCUCGAUAAAAUGGGCGGAUCAAGAACACAUCCGGGGAUUUUAUGUGAACUUGGGCUUGAUGCGAACUUUGAAUUGGAAUAGUACUUGGGCCGCGACUGAUGACGUUUCACAAGUCCACAAGAACACAAGUACAGACAAGAACGCAUAUUGAGAAACGGCUUCGGAUUGUAGGCAACAGUUUACUUCCUGGGAUUAGUGACGUAGAUAAGACCAACAUUAUCAUAGUUCAGCCCUCUCUGCUUUGCUUGGGUACGCCCUCAAAGACGGGGAUGGGGUGGGGAGCGCCGAGUCAGAAGAGAGCUAAAAUGGUGGAGGUUGUGAGUCCCUGCUUUGACUCUGUUUGCAAACUCUUGUUUCAUCGUUUAAGCGAUUAAAUCUCUCGAGUAGAUGCUGUCUCUUUAGAUGCGAGGGCAAAAUAGCACUUUAUGGACUUCCACAGAGGACAUCAUGUUUAAUACGGUUCCGGAAAAAUCCAGUCAGAAGUUGUUCACGGAGUUUUCACAAUAACUGCUUCUCAUGAACCGAAGCUGGAUUUGCACGACGUCUCCUCUUGAAAGUUGGAUUACUGUCCACUUCUGGAUCACAGGCUAUUCGCAGCUGGACACAUCCUUCUACACUGUAUGCAAACAUGCAACAUCAUUACACACAGUACAAGGAGUCAGACUGGCAUAUGAGGAGCAAAGGAAGCCAGGCAGUAGCAUCGUUUCACAAUGUUUCCAUCACCAUCAUCAUUGGAUACCUUUGCCGUCCGUAGCCUGAGAUUUCAGAUUUGCAGCAAAAAAAUUUGAUUUUCUCAUUUAUUGGAAUGCUGUGCAGGUAUUUGUACCUUGCAGCCAUCCAUUACAAUGUCACCAAGCCGUAACAAAAGCAGGAGAGGGAAAGUACAAGGCUAUGUUCCCAAAACACACAAGUGACAUACCUUAUGUGGAGGAUGUGAUCAGGCUUGUGUUUGAUGAGGUAUUUGAAGAUAAGCUGAAGGAAGCUCCGAUUCCAAUGGACCUGGCAUCACAGUUUGAGAGACCUUCAAAGGAGGACGUGAUUGCAUGCCAUCUUCAGUGCAGGGGUCGUCGAAAGCCAAAAUUGUGACCGAUCUGAUCAGGAAGCUCCAAGCGUAUCUGGAGAACAACACACGACAGGAUGAUAACCUUAUAGUGUCGUCUUAAAUAGCACCAUGCUGACAAAGCUUUGAUAUGCCAUUUAUCUGAAUAGAUAGCUGUAAGAAGUGAAUUGAACAAUUUUUGAAAGAA
Long non-coding RNA from Paramisgurnus dabryanus, 3580 nucleotides. RefSeq lists it as uncharacterized. The record is from RefSeq and is a predicted model, not a curated record. Lineage: Eukaryota; Metazoa; Chordata; Actinopteri; Cypriniformes; Cobitidae.